RNAcentral lists this ribosomal RNA (253 nucleotides) under uncultured bacterium. Its description in RNAcentral is "partial 16S ribosomal RNA". It matches the Rfam family "Bacterial small subunit ribosomal RNA", at positions 524 to 776 of the family's 1533-position model. The record is from RNAcentral.
UACAGAGGUCUCAAGCGUUGUUCGGAUUCAUUGGGCGUAAAGGGUGCGUAGGCGGCGCGGUAAGUCGGGUGUGAAAUCUCGGAGCUUAACUCCGAAACUGCAUUCGAUACUGCCGUGCUUGAGGACUGGAGAGGAGACUGGAAUUUACGGUGUAGCGGUGAAAUGCGUAGAUAUCGUAAGGAACACCAGUGGCGAAGGCGGCUCACUGGCCCGGUACUGACGCUGAGGCGCGAAAGCGUGGGGAGCAAACAGG